RNAcentral lists this ribosomal RNA (265 nucleotides) under uncultured bacterium. RNAcentral's name for it is "partial 16S ribosomal RNA". It matches the Rfam family "Bacterial small subunit ribosomal RNA", at positions 8 to 253 of the family's 1533-position model. The record is from RNAcentral.
AGAGUUUGAUCAUGGCUCAGGACGAACGCUGGCGGCGUGCCUAACACAUGCAAGUCGAGCGGGGACUUAUUGGAUGAGAGCUUCGGCAGGAUUCCGGUAAGUUCUAGCGGCGGACGGGUGAGUAACGCGUGAGCAAUCUGUCUCAGACAGGGGGAUAACGCAGCGAAAGUUGCACUAAUACCGCAUGAGACCACAGAGCCGCAUGGCUAAGGGGUCAAAGGAGCAAUCCGGUCUGAGGUGAGCUCCGUCCUAUUAGGUAGUGGUG